This 508-nucleotide long non-coding RNA is filed under the name Chinchilla lanigera (long-tailed chinchilla). RNAcentral describes it as "lncRNA (ENSCLAG00000029015.1)". The record is from RNAcentral. Lineage: Eukaryota; Metazoa; Chordata; Mammalia; Rodentia; Chinchillidae.
UGAAAGGCUGGAAGUCAGCUAAAUCCAGCUGCUGGUCCCCAGGUGGGGCUCUGAGGUGGCAGAGGGGCUCCCCAGGUGAUGACCCAGCCUCCAGCACACCGGACACCAUUGAAAGCACAAACAGGGUCUGAGGCAGAGAGGAGCUGUGGACUCAUGCAUCAGGCCCCUGGGGUGCACACCAGCCCAGCCGUAUCUCCUGGGGUCACAGCUCUGUGGACAUGACUCCUGAUGCCCGCUGUCCAGCUCCCGUGUGUGACUGCACCCUGACUUUGAUGCCCUCUGACCAGCUCGAGUCUGUGACUGCACCGUGACUGGUGCCCGCUGUCCAGCUCAAGUGCGUGACUGCGACAUGACUGAUACCUACUGAGGCUAGCGGGACAAGGGGGGUGGAGCAGUGUGCCUUUAAAGAGAUGCCGGUGCAGGCUGAGGGCCACUCCUCCCGGGCGGCACUGAGCCAGCCUCUGCAAAUAUACAAUAAAUUACCAUUUCCCAGGCUACCGCUGCUUGC